CGCGGGGCCGAGCGGGGCGUGAGGCCUUCCCGAGAGGACGGCGUCAAACUGCUCGCACGGCUUUAAUUGCCGGUUUGUUAUUUUAAAAAGGGAACUGGGUUUCUCGAACGUGUGCUUUUGAGACAUGGACUUGGCUCCCUGACCUCCCUCUGCGUGGAUUCUGUGAUUGCUGACCAGCUCCUGGGAAUGGGCCAAUUAUAAGCUUUAGAAAGUCACCCAGAGCAGCAGCUCUUUUGUCCUGGCAGUUCCCUCAUUUGACACCCAUACAUGGUCCAAGUGUGGGAAUUGAAGCCACCAGUAAAGAACUAGGAGGCAAAUAAAGGCAUUAUCCACUUGGACAAGAAAGAAAUCUGUGACACCAGUGAAAUAAACUGUCUUGUAGGAGAUUUGUCUUCACAUUGCUUACAAAGAAGAUAAAGAAAAAGGGAAAUUGUAUGUACCUUUCCCCUCCAUUAUAUCAUCACUCCAUUUGCCAGACCCAGCAAAACAAAUUUCUGGAGAUUUCAAGAUUUUAAAAGGAUCUUCUAGUACAAGUAGAGGUUAUGAAAUCAACUGUGCUUUUUAGGAGUUGCUGAGUUUCUUUAUGCACUUUUUAAGAUAAUGAUCAGCUGGUUUAACUAUAGCUUCUUUUUGCAGUGCAUUUAAUCAGUUAAUCACUAUUAGCCUUGAAAACAUAGGAUGGUUUAAAUAAUGGUCUUAGAAGCAAGUAAAAUGGAGAACUGCAUGAUUAUUCUGUAACUAGUUUGAUCUCAGCUUCCAUAAAAAUUUAAAACUUUCAAGCUGCCUUCAAAUAUGUUAAAUUAUGUGCUUAAAUUAUGAUCUAAGGGGACUUUUUUGUUUACUAGUCUCCAGGAUAUUUGGAAAAUGGAUUCCAAAGGGGAAAGUAAUCAUUUUUGUACAUAUUAUACACCUACUAUUCGCUACAUUUGGCACCUAUCUACUUGUCAGACCAAAUAAAUCUAAUUCCCUAACGCACAUGUAAAAACCUAUGUAAGUGCUUUCUAAUAUUUUUAAAAGCACCAUUAAAGUUAAUCUAUAUCUGUGCUCUUACUGCCAUGUGAAUCAUGCUAAAAAUGGACUUACUAGUCUGCAAUUUCACACUAAUGUGUGCUGAUAUCUAUGGAAGACUAGUUUUGUAAGAGUUGUCAAAAUUUAUGGUAGAAACACUCCCAUGUAACACAGAAAAUAAGCUCCCCUUUGGCAUUCCUUGGACUUGUUCUCAGACGCAGCAACCAUAUUCUGUACUCUUACUAUGUAUUAGCAUCUUGAAUGUUAAUGCUAAAGUAUACAUCUGCAUAACAUUUCCAAGAAUUUGUGCUGAAGAAAACUGUCUCAAUAUCUUUCCUCUAGUGAGGGGCCAAAACUGAACACCAGAUUUGAGUUGUGGCCUCAUCAGUGCCAAGUGCAGGGGAAUCACUGCCCUGGUCCUGCUGGCCCCACUGUUGCUGACACAGGCCAGGAUGCCAUUGGCCUCCUUGGCCACCUGGGCACACCCUGGCUCAUGUUCAGCCGCCUGUGGACCAGCACUCCCAGGUCCUUUUCUGCUGGGCAGUUUUCCAUCCACUCUGCCCCAGCCUGUAGCACUGCCUUGUGAUCCAAGUGCAGGACCUGGCAGAGGGCCUUGUUGAACCUCAUAGUGCUGGCCUUGGCCCACCAGAUUGUCCUGUCCAGGUCCUUCUGCAGAGCCUCCAAGUCCUCCAGAAUAUCAACACUCUCAACCAACUCGAUGUCAUGUGUGAAUUUACUGAGGGUGCACCCAAUUCCCUAGUCCAGAUCAUUGAUAAAGAUAUUAAACAGGAUCCAAUACUGAGCCCUUGGAUAUUAAUGAGUUUAUGGAUCCAAUAACUUCAAUACUAAAUACUUCCUAUAUAUAAACUGUAUAAUUAGAUGGAAAAAUUAUUUUUAAAGGCAAUUCUAACAUUUUUUGUAAUUUUUGUCAAUAAAACAAGGACUAGAUUCCUUAAAAUGACCUUAAAUUCAAAAUGGAGCCACUUACUCUUGUUUACCAAUUGGGUUAAUAGGGCACAUUACAUAGAGGGAAGAGGAAGAUAAGAGGUAGUUUUCAACCUUUAAAAAAGAUCUAACAUUAGGGAAACACUAAAGAUAGGGAAAAGUGACAUGGCAAAAUUGUAAAGUAAUACAUAAUAAUUUUUAGUCUUCCAAUGAAAAAUUCCAACCAGUGAUCAUGACAAUAGGUAACUGAAGAAUGAGAUGA
Vidua macroura (Pin-tailed whydah) is the source of this 2215-nucleotide long non-coding RNA. RefSeq lists it as uncharacterized. The transcript has 4 exons. The record is from RefSeq and is a predicted model, not a curated record. Lineage: Eukaryota; Metazoa; Chordata; Aves; Passeriformes; Viduidae.